Molecule: long non-coding RNA, 1715 nt
Organism: Salvia splendens (bonfire salvia)
Lineage: Eukaryota; Viridiplantae; Streptophyta; Magnoliopsida; Lamiales; Lamiaceae
Exons: 2
Source: RefSeq, a predicted model, not a curated record
UCCAAAUCCCCAAAUUCCAAAUUGAAUCCCUUGACUCCGUCACCUCUGCGCCGAACCGCCAUCAUCGCUCAUCACCGCCAUCGAUGCCCUGUCGCGCCUCAUCGUCUUCCUUCCGGAUCUGCGAGACGCGGUUCCGUCCGCCUAGCAGCGGCGGGGCUCCAAUGGAAACCGUCUCCGUUACCUCCGUCUCCAGCGAGGGACGAUUGGUGCCAAGAAGAUCUCUCUCCCUCUCGGCUGUACUGUUGCUGUCGCGACACUAGGCUCGCCGGUGCGUGGCCUCAGCUUGCCUCUUUUCCGCCGUCGAUCCACCCCUCCGUCGCAUCGAAGCAGCAGCCCCUCGUCGGUGCUGUCCCCCUUCCAGCGAGCCCAUUGAGCCGCCGCUGCCGAGGACGAGCGGGGGGGGGGGUCCAGCUUCGCGAGGCUCCUGCCGUCGCUGUUCGCAGGAGGUUAGGCUGGACACGGUGCGGUCCGUUGCCGCUGCUGCACGCCGGGGGUGCCUGCGGUCUCGGCUCGCCACCGCUCUUGACACCCCGCCGUCGGAUCACUACCUCUCGUCCAGCGUUUCCGCCUCUGGCGGCACGACGUCUCGGCCAGAGCCAUUCUCCCUCCGAAGCUAAGUUUCUCGUUUAAAAAUUCUCUAGCGUUGAUAAAUGAAACUUGCGAAUUUUCAAUAAUACUGUAACUUGAGCAUUAGGGGAUUUCUCUUGCAUUCUGUUGGGUUUGAUUCUAUUUCAUCGGGGGGGGGUGAGUCUGUGGUGGAAGUUUCGAUUCUGUCGUGAAGUGUGGAUUUAAGGCAUACUCCUAUGUUCUUGAGUUUCUGUCCCUAAGUCCUCAUGCUUUAGCUAUCUACUGUGUGCUACAUGAUGCUAGUAUGGUUUGGAGGAUUUACCUCUUGUGAUUGCUGAGUGAGGCUGCUCUUACUCUUGCUCGAUCCCUCUCUGCCUCAGUUCUUCCUCCCUCUCUUUCGCUUGCUUCUUUGCUACUGAGUUGUGGUAUUGAGAGAGGGUGAAGCUGGGAUUGUUUAUACACCUUUGUCUAACUGAAAGCCUGAGAAAGGCUGGUGUACUUGGCUAUAAUUGCUGGCUGGUUAGUAGUUGUUCCCUCUGCAGUAAAAUCGCAGGGUGUACUCGUGAGUUGGAUGAGCCUUUGGCUCCUGGUUGUGCUUUGAUAUCAUAGCUGGAAAGGUGCAUUAUUCCCUGCAUUCCCUUGCUGUACUACUUAACUGUAUUUGUCUCCACAUGAGGUGUUGUACUAGGUUUAUUCAUUACUUUUGUUGGUUUAUGGCAGGUACGAGUGAAGUACGAGCUGCAGGGACGCAGCCUUGCAGAGUGCAGCCACUGAGGUGAAGUGCUGUUGGCUGACUUACUUCUCCCGGCCCAGCUCUUUCUUAUUUUUCUGAAAGGGACAAGGGAGACCUAUUUCCUCUGCCCCUCUAGUUCGGCCCAUCGGACCAUCGAAAAGAUCUGGGCCGCAAGCCCGUGCUGAAGAGGCCCAACGCUAGUUUACACUUUCCUUUUUCUCUCUAUAGUGUAAUCGAGUAGUUCUACUUGAAAACUCUCUUUUCUUUAACGUGUAAUAGUUAUUUGGUGUGUAUUACUUUUCAAGCAUUUGUACUUUAUUAGCUUGAAAUUCUGAAAUCUUGUACCUCUUUUACUCAAGAAAUAAACAAAUGCUCUUUCAUUUUUUUUAAUCAACAUCUGUAAAUUCAAGGCUUA